GGUGUCUUGUUAAAGUGCUGAUUCUAAUCAGUAGGUCUGGGAUGGGGCCCGAGAUUCUGCAUUUCUAACAAGCUC
Molecule: microRNA precursor, 75 nt
Filed under: Procavia capensis (Cape rock hyrax)
Lineage: Eukaryota; Metazoa; Chordata; Mammalia; Hyracoidea; Procaviidae
Description: miRNA (ENSPCAG00000020401.1)
Source: RNAcentral